AUAGUAAAUCGUUCCCACGAAAUACUAAUUCGUUCCCACGAAAUACUAAAUCGUUCCCACGAAAUACUAAAUCGUUCCCACGAAAUACUAAUUCGUUCCCACGAAAUACUAAUACGUUCCCACGAAAUACUAAAUCGUUCCCGCUAAAUACUAAAUCAUUCCCACUAAAUACUAAUUCGUACGCGGGAGACUCGCGGAACUUCCGGGAGACUGGAGUCUGCAACGGAAUACUUAUGUGUGCGUUUGCUUUAAUACCAUGCCCAUGAAUGGUAGAAGCAGGAAGAUUUACUAUUUAAGCGUAAGCCUUAAUACCUGCUGACGAACUUUUUCGGCCCGUUACUACAGACGGGUAGCGCAGCAGGUAAGACACUCUUAAGCGAACAAGGCCUUGCUAAUACUACCUUAAAGUUUUGUUAGUAUGGUCGGAGCGUAAAGCCAUGCUCGUUUGUGUCUAGGAGCUUCAGCACACUCAGUAUUUUGAGUGGUAGGCUACUUCGUUCGCGUUAUGCUUCUUCUCAAAGAUUGAACAACAUAUUUGUCGCAAACAUUUCACAAUAGGUAUUGUGAGAAUAUGUUUCUAAUUAGUAAGCUAGUGCUAGUGCGCCUCUAGCCUAAUAAGUACAGUAGCAUAUGGUAGGCCUACUAUUAUUUUUGAUUUCCUGUGGUUUACAGUUGAAGGCAUGGAUGCUCGGCUGCGAGAAUUUUUGAAGGAGCGCCAAAUUGAAGAGGAUGUGAUCCAGAAACUUGAAGAUGAAAAUAUUGAUGAAACUGUCAUUCCACUAAUGACAGACAGUGACCUAGCCAAGUACAUCCCCAAAGCUGGGGAUAGAGUCCAUCCAGGAAAGAAACCAUCCUUUCAAGGCUACGUCAAAGACUCUCCGGAACUGAGGGGACACCUAGAGCUCCACAAAAGAGAACAUAUCAGUGGACAGGAAAUGCAAAUGCCAAACGGAAACUGAGGCGGAUUGAGGUUGGCUGGAUGAAUUUCGAUGUAAAAGAGCAAAGGUACAAACAGGUGAAGUCUGUAAAUGGGGGAGGAACCAGGCAUCUCUCUGUUGACAAAGAUGAAACAGUGGCAGAUAUCAAAGUUAUGGCUGAAAAUCUUUUCUUCCCCAAAGGCCUUUCCAAAAAAAACAAAAGUCUUUCCCACUAUUAAACUCAUAUUGAGAGCUCCCAGAUAAAUGUUGAGAUGUCCAAUGGAGUAGAAGAGUUGUAUGACCAAAGCAAGGUCAAAAUGCUCCGACUUUAUUUGUACACCAAAAAUAAAAGAGGACAGCAGCCCACAGUAGGAGAGGAGGAGGAUCUCAUAAUAACCCAGCCCCCAGUGAUAGAUCUUACUGAACAGGAACAGGCUGUUGAGGAUCUGUUGUUGGAAAACAUAAAUUCAGAGUCACCAAAUGACGAUGAAACUGGGGGUUGAGGUUAAAGUCCCCUUCAUCAGACAUGACUUUCAGUGUGAAGAAUGGCAGGCUGUAACUAGAGUAUUUGUACUUGGGUGGAAACAAGCUGGUUACUUCCCAGUGAAACUUGCAGUACCAUUUCUGGAAGAGGUAUUGUAUAGUUCGACAACCAGUAGUUUCAAAGAUUCACUUUUGCUGUACAUAUCACAAGAGGAAAGAGCUGUCCUUUUGAAGGCUUUGGAGGACUUUCAGUCAGUGGACACAGAUGAACUUCUCGAUGUACUCGAUGCAUAUGAAUGCAAGCAAGUCCCUAACAAGGACACACUGCUCCCUGUUUUAGCACAGAUAGGACACAAAGUAAUCAUCCAGGCCCCAAUGUAUGUCAUUAAGUGUUGGCGUCCUGUUGUGGGCUCUAUAGCUAGUUUACUGCCACCAGAGGGUCUGCAUCAUUACAUUGCACAAAAAAAACAACUGCAAAAACAGUGAAGCAGCUUCUAAACUUCCCAGAGGAGAUGACAACAGCCCAAUCAACAGUUUCUCACUAUCUGAAAAAGUACAUCGGGGAAAUUGAUCGCAACACUCUUCAGCUCUUCCUUCGGUUCUGUACAGGAUCUGAUCUCCUGGAUAAGGCCAUACUGAUUGAGUUCAUAGAAACCACCAAUUUCCUCCGCAGACCACAGUCCCACACAUGUGGAUGUGUACUAAAGGUGCCCACUGGUUACCACAGCUAUCCAGAUUUCCGUAGUGAAUUUAACAAUAUUCUCACAAGCUCAAUGUGGGUAAUGGAUGUGGUGUAGGUAAUAAUACAAAUAAUAACACAAAGGAUGUGACAGCUCCUUGCUGGACUUGAUGGUGUUGUUAUUUUAGCUCUGUUGUUCUGUGAGCCUUUUAUGUCGGGCAUUUUAUUUCAUCUGCUCUGAAAGGGGUUGCUUUGUUCUUUCACAUUCAAAUAGUUAAAGGGAUAGUUCAGUUUUUUGUAUUACUCCAGUUAGUGCCAAAAGAAACCAAUGUCUAAGACUAGGUCAAGCACUGACAAUAUUCCAAGUAAAGCGUACAGUUAAACUGUUUUGGAAGUGGGACUUCUUUAAUGUGGCUAAAAUACAUUUUUUGUUGCUGUGUUACUACCUCUGUUCUUAGCAGUGUAUGACUCUGCUUUUAAAAACUGGGAGCUUGCUGACCACUGUCUACUACUACAAGUAUUAUACUGAGAAUGUACCUCAUACUACCCCACUUUUUUACAAUUAUCCCUUUUGUGUUAUACAAAGUUGUUUGUAGCAAACCCAUCAGAAACAAAAAUGUGAGCCUUGACUGAUUGUGUUAAGGUCUUUAAGACUAAGUGAGUUGUUGACAGAGGUACUUUAAACUUUCAAGUAAUAUUAUUUUGUAUCUAUGAACCUGGCUAACAGGAGCCUUGGAACACAGUUCCUAUCCUGUUUGUGUACAUACAAAAUACAACGUGUUGCUUUCAGUAAUAGUGUAUUUUAA
This is a long non-coding RNA of Hypomesus transpacificus, 2885 nucleotides long. RefSeq lists it as uncharacterized. NCBI's taxonomy places the organism in Eukaryota, Metazoa, Chordata, Actinopteri, Osmeriformes, Osmeridae. The record is from RefSeq and is a predicted model, not a curated record. The transcript is spliced from 3 exons.